RNAcentral lists this ribosomal RNA (440 nucleotides) under uncultured bacterium. Its description in RNAcentral is "partial 16S ribosomal RNA". It matches the Rfam family "Bacterial small subunit ribosomal RNA", at positions 338 to 795 of the family's 1533-position model. The record is from RNAcentral.
CCUACGGGCGGCUGCAGUGGGGAAUAUUGCACAAUGGGGGAAACCCUGAUGCAGCAACGCCGCGUGGGUGAAGAAGUACUUCGUUAUGUAAAGCUCUAUCAUCAGGGAAGAAAAUGACGGUGACUGAGUGAGCAGCCCCGGCUAACUACGUGCCAGCAGCCGCGGGAAUACGUAGGGGGCAAGCGUUAUCCGGAUUUACUGGGUGGAAAGGGAGCGCAGACGGCAGGGCAAGUCUGGAGUGAAACGCAUGGGCUCAACCAAUGCAUUGCUUUGGAAACUGGAGGACUGGAGAGCAGGAGAGGGGGGUGGAACUCCAUGUGUAGCGGUAAAAUGCGUAGAUAUAUGGAAGAACACCAGUGGCGAAGGCGGCUGCCUGGCCUGUUGCUGACGCUGAGGCACGAAAGCGUGGGGAGCAAAUAGGAUUAGAUACCCCAGUAGUC